GCGCUAAUGGAUGAGCCUAAGUCGGAUUAGCUUGUUGGUGGGGUAAAGGCCUACCAAGGCGACGAUCCGUAGCUGGUCUGAGAGGACGAUCAGCCACACUGGGACUGAGACACGGCCCAG
This 120-nucleotide ribosomal RNA is filed under the name uncultured bacterium. Its description in RNAcentral is "partial 16S ribosomal RNA". It matches the Rfam family "Bacterial small subunit ribosomal RNA", at positions 215 to 334 of the family's 1533-position model. The record is from RNAcentral.